AACGAACGCUGGCGGCAUGCCUAACACAUGCAAGUCGAACGAGACCUUCGGGCCUAGCGGCGCACGGGUGCGUAACGCGGGGGAACCUGCCCUUAGGUUCGGAAUAACUCACCGAAAGGGGUGCUAAUACCAGAUAAUGUCUUCGGACCAACGAUCUAUCGCCGUUGGAUGGGCCCGCGUUGGAUUAGCGAGUUGGUAGGGUAAAAGCCUACCAAGGGGACGAUCCAUAGCUGGUGUGAGAGGAUGAUCCGCCACACCGGGACUGAGACACGGCCCAGACUCCUACGGGAGGCAGCAAUGGGGAAUAGUGGACACUCGGCGGAAGCCUGAUCCAGCUAUGCCCCGUGAGCGCUGUAGGCCUUGGGGUUGUAAAGCGCUUUUAACCGGGAUGAUAAUGACAGUACCGGGAGAAAAAGCCCCGGCUAACUCCGUG
This 433-nucleotide ribosomal RNA is filed under the name uncultured bacterium. Its description in RNAcentral is "partial 16S ribosomal RNA". It matches the Rfam family "Bacterial small subunit ribosomal RNA", at positions 29 to 507 of the family's 1533-position model. The record is from RNAcentral.